AGUGAACGCUGGCGGUAGGCCUAACACAUGCAAGUCGAACGGCAGCACAGUAAGAGCUUGCUCUUACGGGUGGCGCGUGGCGGACGGGUGGGGAAUACAUCGGAAUCUACUUUUUCGUGGGGGAUAACGUAGGGAAACUUACGCUACUACCGCAUACGACCUACGGGUGAAAGCAGGGGAUCUUCGGACCUUGCGCGAUUGAAUGAGCCGAUGUCGGAUUAGCUAGUUGGCGGGGUAAAGGCCCACCAAGGCGACGAUCCGUAGCUGGUCUGAGAGGAUGAUCAGCCACACUGGAACUGAGACACGGUCCAGACUCCUACGGGAGGCAGCAGUGGGGAAUAUUGGACAAUGGGCGCAAGCCUGAUCCAGCCAUACCGCGUGGGUGAAGAAGGCCUUCGGGUUGUAAAGCCCUUUUGUUGGGAAAGAAAAGCAGCAUGUUAAUACCCCGCUGUUCUGACGGUACCCAAAGAAUAAGCACCGGCUAACUUCGUG
Molecule: ribosomal RNA, 492 nt
Filed under: uncultured bacterium
Lineage: Bacteria
Description: partial 16S ribosomal RNA
Rfam family: Bacterial small subunit ribosomal RNA
Source: RNAcentral